Molecule: long non-coding RNA, 1020 nt
Organism: Oncorhynchus keta (chum salmon)
Lineage: Eukaryota; Metazoa; Chordata; Actinopteri; Salmoniformes; Salmonidae
Exons: 5
Source: RefSeq, a predicted model, not a curated record
CACACACACACACACACACACACACACACACACACACACACUACACACAAACUACACACUCAGAUGUGUUGAGAGAGCAUGUACCUCCUCAUCCUCUACUGUCAUGUGAUGGGUCAUGUGAUGGUCUGGUUCCACUGUUCCUCAGGUCUUGAGAAAGAAAGAAAUGAGAGGUAGAAAGAGGAAGAGAGAGGAAAUGAGAGGUAGAAAGAGGAAAUGAGAGGUAGAAAGAGGAAAGGAGAGGUAGAAAGAGGAAGGGAGAGGAAAGGAGAGGUAGAAAGAGGAAGAGAGGAAAGGAGAGGUAGAAAGAGGAAGAGACAGGAAAGGAGAGGUAGAAAGAGGAAGAGAGAGGAAAGGAGAGGUAGAAAGAGGAAGAGAGAGGAAAUGAGAGGUAGAAAGAGGAAGAGACAGGAAAGGAGAGGUAGAAAGAGGAAGAGAGAGGAAAGGAGAGGUAGAAAGAGGAAGAGAGAGGAAAGGAGAGGUAGAAAGAGGAAGAGACAGGAAAGGAGAGGUAGAAAGAGGAAGAGAGAGGAAAGGAGAGGUAGAAAGAGGAAGAGAGGAAAGGAGAGGUAGAAAGAGGAAGAGACAGGAAAGGAGAGGUAGAAAGAGGAAAGGAGAGGUAGAAAGAGGAAGAGACAGGAAAGGAGAGGUAGAAAGAGGAAGAGAGAGGAAAGGAGAGGUAGAAAGAGGAAGAGAGAGGAAAGGAGAGGUAGAAAGAGGAACGGAGAGGUAGAAAGAGGAAAGGAAAGGUAGAAAGAGGAAGAGACAGGAAAGGAGAGGUAGAAAGAGGAAGAGACAGGGAAGGAGAGGUAGAAAGAGGUAGAAAGAGGAAGAGACAGGAAAGUAGAGGUAGAAAGAGGAAGAGACAAGAAAGGAGAGCGUGAGAGACAGAAAAUGAGAACAGGUUCCCCAAGUUUCAACCUGAGAGGCCAUCUCCUGCCUGAAGGCUUCAGCUACGAUUCAACACACACACACUCACAUAGCUGACAUGUCUGAGUGUAAGUGUGUGUGUGUGUGUGUGUG